Vidua chalybeata is the source of this 1165-nucleotide long non-coding RNA. RefSeq lists it as uncharacterized. The transcript is spliced from 4 exons. The record is from RefSeq and is a predicted model, not a curated record. NCBI's taxonomy places the organism in Eukaryota, Metazoa, Chordata, Aves, Passeriformes, Viduidae.
GACAAAAGAGGGCUCAGGGAAGAGCAGGAUAAAAGAUACUUGUGGUCAGAGAUUCUGAAUCAAAGCAUGCAUGGUCACAGGAAGUUUAAGCAUGGUUCAAACACUGAUUUACUGGAGGGACUUCUGACAAUCCAGAAGAAACUGUCAGAAAUCUCCAGAGAGACACUGAGGGAAAUCUAUAGAAUAUAUAGUUGAAGCCACAAUAAUAAGAACCUGGCCAGCUGACGGAUGAAAAUGUGUUUUCCUUCUACUGAAAUCUCCUUCAGACCCUCAUCAAGAUGCCUAGGCUCGUGGCCAGUCUCAAAGUGAGGAAGUGUCAGCUGUGGAAACCCAGAGAAUGACUCAGCAGUGGUGCCACAGCAUGUUCAUCUCUGAGCAAUGUUGGGCUCUGAUGAUACCAAUGACAGAAAAAGACUGAACUUCCCAAUCCUUCCACACCAUCUUAGAGCCCAGAGGGGCUUAAUAGGACUUGUUUCAGAAGAGGCAAAUAGCAGUCCUUAAAAAGCUUGGGGUGGCACGAGAGAGCAGAGAUGUCUCUGCCCUUUAAGGAUAUGCUGGAAUCUCACUCACCCCUUGGACAACCAGCCAGCAAACACUUGGAGAGACCUGGGCCAUUUCCUGCCAAAGGCAGGCCCAGCCUUCUGCUCCCUGCUCUGGAUCUGGGAUGCAGUGACAGGAACAGAGAUGAUUGCUCCAGGGUGGCUCUGGCUGCCUUGGAGACAGGAAGCCUCUACAGAUGGUAGCCAGGCUGCCCCAGCACGGUGCCCACAGCUUGCAUCCCUCUGGGUGGUGCUCUAAGGCCCCACACCCUGGGCAGGUGUGCCACUGGAGUAACUGGGCUGCACCUCACAAACAAAUAACCACCUGGGAUUUGGCUUUUUUCUGAGAGUCAAAACAAAGAAAACAUGGACAAGCACAAGAUUUCCCUUGCAGAGGGAGAACACGAUCCAUUUUACUCAGCAGGGAAACCAGUUAAUCACUGCCAUCCAUCUACUUCUCUGCCCUCUGCAAGAGUCAGACGUUCUUUUGUGCUGGAAGGGCACAACAACAGCCACAAAGCCUGUCAGGAAAAUGCUGCUCUGCCAACCCCCUGCAACUCCUGCUUCCUUCCAAUGUGUGCCUUACGUGCUUGGGAAGGGAAUCAAUGCUUUUCUGCCAUUCCUGC